RNAcentral lists this ribosomal RNA (347 nucleotides) under uncultured bacterium. RNAcentral's name for it is "partial 16S ribosomal RNA". It matches the Rfam family "Bacterial small subunit ribosomal RNA", at positions 338 to 700 of the family's 1533-position model. The record is from RNAcentral.
CCUACGGGAGGCAGCAGUGGGGGAUAUUGCACAAUGGGGGAAACCCUGAUGCAGCGACGCCGCGUGGGCGAAGAAGUAUUUCGGUAUGUAAAGCCCUAGCAGCAGGGAAGAAGAAAUGACGGUACCUGAGUAAGAAGCACCGGCUAAAUACGUGCCAGCAGCCGCGGUAAUACGUAUGGUGCAAGCGUUAUCCGGAUUUACUGGGUGGAAAGGGAGCGCAGGCGGCACGGCAAGCCUGAUGGGAAAGCCCGCGGCCCAACCGCGGGACGGCUUUGGGAACUCCCGGGCUGGAGUGCCGGAGAGUUAGGCGGACUUCCUAUUGUAGCCGUGAACUUCGUAGAUCUUAG